UCGGGAAUUUUGGGCAAUGGGCGAAAGCCUGACCCAGCAACGCCGCGUGAAGGAUGAAGUAUUUCGGUAUGUAAACUUCGAAAGAAUGGGAAGAAUAAAUGACGGUACCAUUUAUAAGCUCCGGCUAACUACGUGCCAGCAGCCGCGGUAAUACGUAGGGAGCAAGCGUUGUUCGGAUUUACUGGGCGUAAAGGGCGCGUAGGCGGCGCGGUAAGUCACUUGUGAAAUCUCUGAGCUUAACUCAGAACGGCCAAGUGAUACUGCAGUGCUAGAGUGCAGAAGGGGCAAUCGGAAUUCUUGGUGUAGCGGUGAAAUGCGUAGAUAUCAAGAGGAACACCUGAGGUGAAGACGGGUUGCUGGGCUGACACUGACGCUGAGGCGCGAAAGCCAGGGGAGCAAACGGGAUUAGACACCCCGGUAGUCCUGGCCCUAAACGAUGAAUACUUGGUGUCUGGAGUUUCAAGACUUCGGGUGCCGUCGCUAACGUUUUAAGUA
RNAcentral lists this ribosomal RNA (495 nucleotides) under uncultured Acidobacteriota bacterium. Its description in RNAcentral is "bacterial SSU rRNA". It matches the Rfam family "Bacterial small subunit ribosomal RNA", at positions 355 to 866 of the family's 1533-position model. Lineage: Bacteria; Pseudomonadati; Acidobacteriota. The record is from RNAcentral.